This 497-nucleotide ribosomal RNA is filed under the name uncultured bacterium. RNAcentral's name for it is "partial 16S ribosomal RNA". It matches the Rfam family "Bacterial small subunit ribosomal RNA", at positions 28 to 507 of the family's 1533-position model. The record is from RNAcentral.
GAUGAACGCUGGCGGCGUGCCUAAUACAUGCAAGUCGAGCGAACAGAUGCGGAGCUUGCUCCUCUGACGUGAGCGGCGGACGGGUGAGUAACGCGUGUAUACCCUACCUGUCAGACGGGUAUAACUUCGGAACACCGGCUCUAAUCCCGUAGAAUCUCUUGAUCCGCGUUGUUCAUUGGUAAGAUACGGCUUUGCUGGCUCUUAUCGCGGCAUCCGGGCCGUAUUGUCGGGUUGGUGGGGUAACGGCUUACCAAGGCAACGAUGCGUAGCAGACCUGUGAGGCGGGUCGGCGGCAUUGGAAGUUAGACGCGGUCAAGACUCCUACGGGAGGCCGCAGUCGGGAAUCUGCCGCAAUGGGCGAAAGCAUGACGGAGCAAGGGCGCGUGAGUGAUGAAGGUCUUGGGAUCGUAAAACGCUGUUAUUAGGGAAGAACAAAUGUGUAAGUAACCAUGGACGUAUUGACGGUAACUAAUCAGAAAGCAACGGCUAACUACGUG